RNAcentral lists this transfer RNA (90 nucleotides) under Burkholderia pseudomultivorans. Its description in RNAcentral is "tRNA-Thr". Lineage: Bacteria; Pseudomonadati; Pseudomonadota; Betaproteobacteria; Burkholderiales; Burkholderiaceae. The record is from RNAcentral.
UUUUUGUCUACGGCACGCGGAAUGCGGUCGGUUUCGUGCACUGACGACUCCAUCGUGUUGGGUCGCUCGGGCCACUCCGAGGACGAGAGU